Molecule: ribosomal RNA, 441 nt
Filed under: uncultured bacterium
Lineage: Bacteria
Description: partial 16S ribosomal RNA
Rfam family: Bacterial small subunit ribosomal RNA
Source: RNAcentral
CCUACGGGUGACAGCAGUGGGGAAUAUUGGGCAAUGGGCGAAAGCCUGACCCAGCAACGCCGCGUGAAGGAAGAAGGCUUUCGGGUUGUAAACUUCUUUUGACAGGGAAGAGCAGAAGACGGUACCUGUCGAAUAAGUCACGGCUAACUACGUGCCAGCAGCCGCGGUAACACGUAGGUGGCAAGCGUUGUCCGGAUUUACUGGGUGAAAGGGGCGUGUAGCCGGGCGGACAAGUCAGAUGUGAAAUCCGGGGGCUCAACCCCCGAACUGCAUUUGAAACUGUUGGUCUUGAGUAUCGGAGAGGCAGGCGGAAUUCCUGGUGUAGCGGUGAAAUGCGUGGAUAUUAGGAGGAAAACAAGUGGCGAGGGCGGCCUGCUGGACGAAAACUGACGGUGGGGGGCGAAAGCGUGGGGAGAAAACAGGAUUAGAUACCCGGGUAGU